Molecule: non-coding RNA, 622 nt
Organism: Xyrichtys novacula (pearly razorfish)
Lineage: Eukaryota; Metazoa; Chordata; Actinopteri; Labriformes; Labridae
Source: the annotation of a GenBank genome assembly
CAGGGGGCGAGCAGGCAGCUGAAGGCGUGACCGAUCUGUCAAACUGACGGAAAGGUCACGCCUUUGGAAACAUCAGCUGUUUUAAGACGCGUCACACAACCAUCACAUGACACUCUGAGGAAGACUGCUGCCAGCACGUCGAAACAUGUUAGCAAGGUAACUAAAAAACCUGCGUCUGUAUAAAAGAACAUCUGAUCGGAAUUUAUCAAAAGAAAACAAUGAACCGAAUCCAAGAACAAGACCUACACGUGAAUUUUUGACCCAAAGCUCCAAAGACAAACAAAGAGAGCAGAGGAGGGAAGAGAGACGGUGUGUUCAGUAAAUAAAGAACUCAUCUGGGUCACAGUUCCACUCCUAAACCCGGUGCUGGUUUUUACAUUUACAUGAUCAUGCUGCCCUCUUUUUAAGUAUGAUUUCUCUCCGCCUCUACUGUCCACCUCCUCAUCAUCUCCACCUGGUCUCUGCAGAAUCAUCGGUUCCAUUCGUCAUCCAUCCGCUCCCAGCGAGUCAUCAGCCACCACCGCCACCAGUGUCAGGACUCUAUGGAGGGAUUUUCCUGCUGAUGGGCAGAUCAUCAUCCUACGAUCUCAAAAAUCUCAAACCCAAAGACUUUCUGUCAGCA